CCUUCCUCAUCCAAGCAUUGAAAAUGAUAUGACUAGUCUUGUACCAUUCAACAUCAUCGGGAGUACUAAAAGAUUCUCUCAAUACUUUGAGCAUGUCUUCUGGAUGAACCUUUUCAAACUUUCGACUGAACUCAUCGUUCAUUGAGGCCUGUAUUAUACAACAAAUCAUAGUGCGGUAAUUGAGCCACUUUAAUUAAGUAUCUCGAACCAUGCCACAAAUGUU
Molecule: long non-coding RNA, 223 nt
Filed under: Elaeis guineensis (African oil palm)
Lineage: Eukaryota; Viridiplantae; Streptophyta; Magnoliopsida; Arecales; Arecaceae
Description: long non-coding RNA (EGUI_LNC061716)
Source: RNAcentral